CCUACGGGCGGCAGCAGUGGGGAAUAUUGGACAAUGGGCGAAAGCCUGAUCCAGCCAUGCCGCGUGUGUGAAGAAGGCCUUCGGGUUGUAAAGCACUUUCAGUGGGGAAGAAAGCCUUGGGGCUAAUACCCUCGAGGAAGGACAUCACCCACAGAAGAAGCACCGGCUAACUCCGUGCCAGCAGCCGCGGUAAUACGGAGGGUGCGAGCGUUAAUCGGAAUUACUGGGCGUAAAGCGCGCGUAGGCGGUCUGAUAAGCCGGUUGUGAAAGCCCCGGGCUCAACCUGGGAACGGCAUCCGGAACUGUCAGGCUAGAGUGCAGGAGAGGAAGGUAGAAUUCCCGGUGUAGCGGUGAAAUGCGUAGAGAUCGGGAGGAAUACCAGUGGCGAAGGCGGCCUUCUGGACUGACACUGACGCUGAGGUGCGAAAGCGUGGGUAGCAAACAGGAUUAGAUACCCCUUAGUC
Molecule: ribosomal RNA, 464 nt
Filed under: Vreelandella stevensii
Lineage: Bacteria; Pseudomonadati; Pseudomonadota; Gammaproteobacteria; Oceanospirillales; Halomonadaceae
Description: partial 16S ribosomal RNA
Rfam family: Bacterial small subunit ribosomal RNA
Source: RNAcentral